This is a long non-coding RNA of Sander lucioperca (pikeperch), 387 nucleotides long. RefSeq lists it as uncharacterized. The transcript is spliced from 3 exons. The record is from RefSeq and is a predicted model, not a curated record. Lineage: Eukaryota; Metazoa; Chordata; Actinopteri; Perciformes; Percidae.
GCAGGAACAAUGAUGUUGUUAUGAAAGCAUACCACCACAUUUUUUGCUGUCUUAUUAAAGUGUUUUAUGUUGAAAGGUAUUGUAUGAAAUGAAUGAUGAUGUUUGCUGCCUUCUGAGCUGCUGAAAUGUUUUCAUUAAAUGUUUUUCAUUUAAAUGUUUCUCCAUCACUGCCGCUACUGCAGUCUAUCAACUUAUUUCACUUAUUUCAGGAGUAGAUUGUACAUUCAGAUUGGGAACAAGUCUAAAUUAAAGGGUCAGUCCGUCCAAAUGUACGAAAACAUUCUGAUUUGCUCUUACUGGUAGACAGAUUUUAUACAAAUAGUAUGGGGGUCAUAUGGCAGAAAAAAUUUAUAUGGAAGUCUGUUCUAACGAAUUGCUUAAAAUGAU